Lemur catta (Ring-tailed lemur) is the source of this 104-nucleotide small nucleolar RNA. RefSeq annotates it as small nucleolar RNA U13. The record is from RefSeq and is a predicted model, not a curated record. The transcript has a single exon. Lineage: Eukaryota; Metazoa; Chordata; Mammalia; Primates; Lemuridae.
AUCCUUUUGUAGUUCAUAAGCAUAAUGAUCGGGUUUUCACACGCAUAUGUGAGAUAUGCCUCCCUUAAACCUUGUUACAAUGUCGGCACAUUAUCCAUCUGACA